This 336-nucleotide ribosomal RNA is filed under the name uncultured Streptococcus sp. Its description in RNAcentral is "bacterial SSU rRNA". It matches the Rfam family "Bacterial small subunit ribosomal RNA", at positions 1042 to 1382 of the family's 1533-position model. The record is from RNAcentral. Lineage: Bacteria; Bacillati; Bacillota; Bacilli; Lactobacillales; Streptococcaceae.
GGCAUGGUUGUCGUCAGCUCGUGUCGUGAGAUGUGGUUAAGUCCGCAACGAGCGCAACCCCUAUUGUUAGUUGCCAUCAUUCAGUUGGGCACUCUAGCGAGACUGCCGGUAAUAAACCGGAGGAAGGUGGGGAUGACGUCAAAUCAUCAUGCCCCUUAUGACCUGGGCUACACACGUGCUACAAUGGUUGGUACAACGAGUUGCGAGUCGGUGACGGCGAGCUAAUCUCUUAAAGCCAAUCUCAGUUCGGAUUGUAGGCUGCAACUCGCCUACAUGAAGUCGGAAUCGCUAGUAAUCGCGGAUCAGCACGCCGCGGUGAAUACGUUCCCGGGCCUU